Molecule: long non-coding RNA, 2542 nt
Organism: Bombus pascuorum
Lineage: Eukaryota; Metazoa; Arthropoda; Insecta; Hymenoptera; Apidae
Exons: 2
Source: RefSeq, a predicted model, not a curated record
GGCACCGUCUACCCAAGCUACCUCGUAUCGACGUGCACGCACACUCGCGUGCACGUGUUGCGGCCAGGACCGGCGUGAUAUAACUCGUCACCCUGUAGAAUUUGAAGAAUCUUAUUUUUUUUCCUAAUUCACUGGAUACCUAUUAUGGAUUAUUUUAUAUCUUAGAUAUUAUCUAAAAGAUAAGAAUACUAAUUAGAUAAGUCUUGCCAAAGAUCUUGAGAUCUGGAAAAUAGAAAAGUAGGUCGAGUUUGAAACUCGAAACAUGAAUGAAAAAUUUUAGGUGAAGAUAAAGUACGGCUCCUUUCUAAUCAGAUUUUUACAGGUUUCAGAAUUAAAUGAAUAAUUUGUUAUAACUUCAUCCAUAUCUUAGAAUUGAUAUAAAAUUUAAAAAUUUUCAAUCUUCUUAGGAUUUUUGAAGAUAAGUAAAAUUCCCAUAUAGCUUUCUAUCCACCAUUUUCGGGAAUCUUCAGUUCUUCAACCUUGAAUUAUGCAGAAUAAUACAAAAGUAGUGUAACUGAAAAUGUAAAACUUCUUUGAGGAAAAGCUAAAAAUAAAAUACGAUAUAAUUCCUAAUGAGUUUUUAGAGCUUACAUUUAGAAAUCCGUUAUUUUCCAAACAGUUUAUUUAUAUCACUAUACUAGUAUAUAAGUACAAGCAAGAUGUUCAAGCAGAUUUCUUUGAUAACUGCGUUCCUGAAAAGAUUACGUCCCUGAACUCUGUCAUACUGUACGUGAAGCCUCACCUCGGAUCGGGCAACCUAUCAGGCGGCUCUCGGGCGUGGGUUGGCAUUCCAUUCAUUUGGGCUGCUGUCGUUGAAGAUUUUCACGUUCGAUCACGCGGACGGCGCAGGGCCACUUUAUCGCGACCCCUAGAGAAUCGUCGCCUGGAGAAAGAAUGAGUAGACAGAAAUGGAGAUAAAGAGAAAGGGAGACAGAGGACGAAAAGGGCCUCUCUGGUUGGUGUCGGUGGCCUUCGACGAGCCACGAGACGAAUUUCGAUUCGAUUGCGUGGGAGCGUGAUAAGGCUACCGGAGGAGGAAACCGAUUAUCGGGUUCACAGUGCCUCACCAGAUGUAACGUCGAACGUGUGUACACGUGCACAAACGCACCAACACCGAGGUGGACGCAAGUGUACGCACCGGAAGCAAUACUCCCUGGCACUUGGUCGGGCAUUAGUGCAUGCACUGGCUGAUGUGUAUAUGUGAACACAAAUAAGCUUGUACACUUCACCGCGUGGGCGUGUGCGUGUGAUUACCACGAAAAGCGGCCCUAGGUUGACAGGAAAUGGUUUGAGAUAAGAUAAUGACGUCCCUCGCCUCUCCUGCAUCCGGCUGCUUUCUUCGUCGCUUCGGCGUUGGAAAAUGUUCCCUUGCCGCAGCCGGGACAGGUACCGAUUCAAUUUUCAAUCAAAUAAGUCUACAAAAAUUUUUUUACGUAACCACCAUGAUAAAAUAGAAAAAUUAGAGACGAAUUGUAUAAUAAUUACGGUAGAACCUGGAAUCCUUAGAAACUUUCUGACGUAAAAAACAUAGCAGUGAAGAUUUUUUCGAUCUUAUGAUCUAUUGUCUAAAACAAGAUUUUCAAUAUAAGCUCCAAAAUAAAGUGAACAAAAUGGUGGAUGGAGUGUAAUCAAAAUGGAACCUCGGGCGCACGAAAAUAGCCAUCCGACUCUUUGCGAGGAUUUUUCAAAAUAUACAAGAGGAAUAGCAGUGUAAACGAACCAGGCCUCCACUAUGAAUAAUCGCAUCCUGUCUCAGUAACUAAGCAAAAAAGAAAAGAAGGCUUAAACAUAUAUAAACAUCUGAGGUCGGCAUUUUAUAAUAGUAAUAACGAUAAUAUCUCCAAGUCCAACUUAUUUAAUGUUUGCUGUAAUUAGAUAUGCAAACAUUGAUCGAUGGUAUUGUGUCAACGAUCACGUUUCAUGGAUCAUCAAUGCAUAUUUAUAGGUUAGAGACGUAGAUGGUUUCCCGCGCUUUCCAUUCUAAGGGAAAUUGGUAGACGGGAGACCAAUUCUCUGAAUGACUCUCGAAACUGGUGCGCCCACAUUCCUCCAGCCACACGAGAUUCGAGGUUCUGGCAUGUUCACUAGCCUGUAAAACUGCUUGCGGGAUCUUCGUUCCCCCCUCUUUAUGCCUACGGAUCGAACAAACGACAUACAGUUAGCAAAAGGUAUCAUAAACGUAUCGAUGCAUGUAUAUAGGUACGUACAAUGAUUAGUACUUAGACAUAAUUAAUCACCAUAUAAGUGCUACAAUAAAUAGAAUAGUGUACAAAUACUUUGUUGAUUAUAUUGAUUAUUAAAAAAAAGGAAACAAUUAUAUCGGUUAGGGUACAUCUCACAUAUAACAUUCGCUUUACUUUAGUUCCCGAAAUAUUCGUAAAAAUAUUUUUGAUACUUCUUUUUAUUUUGGUAUAGAUCAUAUUUGGAUUAGGAUUGAGUUAGAUUUAUACACUAUAGUAACCGUAAACACUUUUUGUAGCCACUGUAUGUAUUUUUCACAUAUAGAUCAAUCAACACCAAAAAUAAAUUAUACCUGUCGAAU